GCCAGGUGUGAUGGCUCAUGCCUGUAAUCCCAACACUUUGGGAGGCUGAGGCAGGAGGGAUCACUUGAUCCCGGGAAUUUGAGGCUGCAGUGGGCCAUGAUCGCAUCACUGCACUCCAGCCUGGGAGACAGAGUGAUAUCUUGCCUCCA
RNAcentral lists this non-coding RNA (149 nucleotides) under Pongo abelii (Sumatran orangutan). Lineage: Eukaryota; Metazoa; Chordata; Mammalia; Primates; Hominidae. The record is from Rfam by way of RNAcentral.